ACUCAAAUGAAUUGACGGGGGCCCGCACAAGCGGUGGAUGAUGUGGAUUAAUUCGAUGCAACGCGAAAAACCUUACCUAGCCUUGACAUGCCAGGAAUCUAGAUGAAAGUUUAGAGUGCCCGAAAGGGAGCCUGGACACAGGUGCUGCAUGGCUGUCGUCAGCUCGUGUCGUGAGAUGUUGGGUUAAGUCCCGCAACGAGCGCAACCCUUAUCGUUAGUUGCCAUCAUUAAGUUGGGCACUUUAACGAGACUGCCGGUGACAAACCGGAGGAAGGUGGGGAUGACGUCAAGUCCUCAUGGCCCUUAUGGCUAGGGCUUCACACGUCAUACAAUGGUCGGUACAGAGGGUUGCUAAAUCGCGAGGUGGAGCUAAUCUCAUAAAACCGAUCGUAGUCCGGAUUGCAGUCUGCAACUCGACUGCAUGAAGUCGGAAUCGCUAGUAAUCGCAGGUCAGCAUACUGCGGUGAAUACGUUCCCGGGCCUUGUACACACCGCCCGU
This 499-nucleotide ribosomal RNA is filed under the name uncultured bacterium. Its description in RNAcentral is "partial 16S ribosomal RNA". It matches the Rfam family "Bacterial small subunit ribosomal RNA", at positions 899 to 1397 of the family's 1533-position model. The record is from RNAcentral.